AAACCAUGGUUGAAGCACUUGCGGAGGAGAGCCUUGAAACGUGCAAUGGCUUCAUAGAGGGGUUCAUCAUGUCCUUGCACGAAUUGGAAGAUUUCACUUUUGAGCUU
Molecule: small nucleolar RNA, 107 nt
Organism: Salvia hispanica
Lineage: Eukaryota; Viridiplantae; Streptophyta; Magnoliopsida; Lamiales; Lamiaceae
Source: RefSeq, a predicted model, not a curated record